AAGUUAAUAAACCAAGAGUGUCUAUAAAGCAUGUAAUAGGCCAAAUUAGCCCGGGCCCAUACCAAAUAAACAGAUCAAACAAAUGCAAAAAAGGCCCAAAUUACAAGUAGGCCUAUACGACCCAAAAAUAAAACAUAGGCCCAAUUUGCGGUGGCCCAAAAUCGUCAGAAACCCUAGGGUUUCUAAUCUUCAACAGCGCCGCAAGACAGGUCCUCCGAAUCUCCGCGAUCUCCACCUGCAAGGAAACUAACAGCAAAAGGAAAGAAAAUCAAAGAUUUGUAGAUCAAAUAGAUUUUCUUUUGAUUUCUUUUUAUUCUUAUUUCGGUUAUAAAAAGCCAUUAAGAACACUGUAAUAAGGAUCGGAUUUUGAGGUUGAAAUCAAUAAAAGAAAAAGCACGAUUAUUUUCGCUAAAUAAGGGAUCAAUCAUUACACCAAAAUGUUUUUUUUUUCUAUUUUGUUUAUCACUUGUUUUUUAUUUUGUGUUAUUGAAAUACAAUAAAACAAAAACAUAAAGAACUUAUCUAGGCUCGCUUUUGAAAUGUCGUUUGGGCGGCCGAUGUUCGUCUCCGAGGAUAGACAAUCGGAAGCCGAAGGAUUUUUUUGUUUUUGAGGCGCUUUGGUUCACUUUUAGAAGGUUUUAAGCCCAGAUUCGGAUUUAGAGGGAUCUAAAAGGGCGAGUAACGGUUUUCCCCUUUUCUAGCCAC
Molecule: long non-coding RNA, 705 nt
Filed under: Gossypium raimondii (Peruvian cotton)
Lineage: Eukaryota; Viridiplantae; Streptophyta; Magnoliopsida; Malvales; Malvaceae
Description: long non-coding RNA (GRAI_LNC010377)
Source: RNAcentral